This is a transfer RNA of Loxodonta africana (African savanna elephant), 69 nucleotides long. It matches the Rfam family "tRNA". Rfam says of the family: Transfer RNA (tRNA) molecules are approximately 80 nucleotides in length. The record is from Rfam. Lineage: Eukaryota; Metazoa; Chordata; Mammalia; Proboscidea; Elephantidae.
GGCCUGGUGGCACAGUGGUUAAGCAUUUGGCUGCUAACCAAAAGGUUGGUAGUUUGAAUCUACCAGCCA